This is a non-coding RNA of Salimicrobium flavidum, 72 nucleotides long. The record is from Rfam. NCBI's taxonomy places the organism in Bacteria, Bacillati, Bacillota, Bacilli, Caryophanales, Bacillaceae.
GCGGGAGUAGUUCAGCGGUAGAACACCACCUUGCCAAGGUGGGGGUCGCGGGUUCGAAUCCCGUCUCCCGCU